This 2775-nucleotide long non-coding RNA is filed under the name Triticum aestivum (bread wheat). RNAcentral's name for it is "long non-coding RNA (TAES_LNC014802)". Lineage: Eukaryota; Viridiplantae; Streptophyta; Magnoliopsida; Poales; Poaceae. The record is from RNAcentral.
UAAGAGGGUGUGUCGGACUAAUUUUGUAGUGUCAGAAUCAGUUCUGUAGCUGGUCACCACGCACGCCUACUCAACUGCACCAUGCCACCGUCCCACUGCUCAUAAGUACACUUGGCGCAUGGUCGUUGUCGUUGGAUGUACCUUGCAUACACACAACAACCACCAAUUAGCAUGCACAAGUUCAUGUACAGUAACAUUACAAAUUUGCAAUGAAACCUAAAAAGAUCUGUACUUUGAAAUACUUCAUUUUACUUUCCAAAUACUUUAUUUGUUUUGAAAUAUGAACUUCUAUUUUUAUUUCCUUAGAACUUAUUAUGAUUUCCCUCCGAACAACAAAAACAUGUUUGGUUUACUUACCCAUAAAAUAUUUGAAGUAUGUCAAAUGAAAAAACAUUCCGAGGCCUGGAAGUGAGAAAACACAUUACACUCAUCGAGGUAGAUAUCGUUCUGUGCGUACCUUGCCACAUACCACAUCGGAUUCCAAGAUUCUAGAUGAACUUCAGCAAAGUGAAGUGAAACCUUUUUCUAACCUAAGAACUGCAGAAAAUUAGCUCAAUUUAUUUAACCACAACAAAUAAACUCUUAAGUACUUCUGGCAAGUAUAUUUGAAUGAACAUAUCCUUUUUCUAGUUACUGAAUUCCUAACUACUCCAAAUAAACUUUUAACUACUUGUGGCAAGUAUUUUUGAACUGACCUUUUCCAUGUUUUUUGUGUGUGUCUUUUCCCAAAUCUUUUCCAACCCUCUUCUCUGAACUUUUAUAUUUAUUUUUCACGAACUUUUUAAGUUAUCCUAGUUGAACUUCUAGUGUUUUCUUUCUUUUACUAAUUUUUCUUUGUCUAGUAUCAUCUCUGUCUCGUAGUUUCCCAUCCAUCUCACUAUGUUCGAACUUUUGGCAAUCUGGAAAUGAACUAUCUGUGAAAACACAUGCUCCAGUAUAAUCUGAGACGCCAAUUCAAGCAAAACAAUCAGUACUAUUCACAUUUAUUAACAACAGCUUGAGAUGCUCAUGUAGAGGCUAGUGCAAGCUACUAGUACUAGGCAUCCAGCGUGGUUGGAACAAACUAGAUGAACAAAUGAUUUAACGGGGUAGCACUACAUACACAGGCAUGAAUAGGAACAACGCUAUGUACCUGGAGACCGGCCACAACAGCAAGCGACACAUGCGACUACGUCAAACUUAACCACGAUGAGGCGGCCACCAACAGCGGACCGUCACCGAAGCCCUUAUUGAAUGAACACAUGCGACGAACACCUGCAUUUUGUUUUCCUUUUGUUUACUGAAUGGUCGUGAAGCUUCACAGUUGGAAGCUUUUAUGCAUGUCAAUCUUUCACAGUUGAAAGUAAUCUGAGCUAUCUCAAAACAUCGAACUGAUACAUACAUGCAAGAACGAAACCGGUACAAGCAAUACAAACAAUCAAUAUGAGGAGGAAUCUCUAGAUGAAUAAGAACAGAGCUUCAAGAAGAUUCAUCAAAUUCAUACCAAAAAUAUGAGGGGUCACGGUACACCAACCAAUAGGCUAUGCGGGAGGAGGGCACCACCUACGGCGGGAGGACGGUGUGACCUGCAGUUUCAGUGGUAUAUGCCUAACAAUAAUUGGAAGGUAGAUGAUCAACCAGUGUCGGCCUCCAAGGCCAACAACCUUCUUGACAACACAAUGUAGACCGACCAACAUGGACUUUGUUGGGUUUAGUUUUUUUAUUCACGCACUGUUAGGCGUGCCCAUUUUGAACUUACAAAGUUUUAUAUACCCAUAUGAACCUACAAAGUUUUCCUAUAGCCAUUUUGAACUUACAAAGUUUUUCUUGACGAACUUCCAUGUGGUUUGUUUACAAGGAACUUUCAUAAAGGAACUUCUCGCGCAAUUGCACAUGUACUGGUUAUAUUUUCUCCCGAAGCCAGAAUGGUUUUCAUAUGUUUCGUACACUAUGGUGAUGAAUAUAAACAACGGGUGAGCACCAAGACAGCUCCAACAUGGGAUCCCUUUCCCCAAGAGGAAGCAAUAGGAAUUAUUGCUUAGAAAAUAAGCAAGUGCAAGUAUGAGGAGAGUAACAAGAGUUGUACUUUUGGUGUAAGCAUACAUGAGCAGGGCUUGCCCAGAGGCCGCAAAAGGGGCAACGACCUGUGCUGGUUGCAGGAGCUGGACUACCUAGGCAUCACAUCAAAGUCAUUAGCAAGAUUAACCACUACUUUUUACAAGAAUUAGCCAGCAAUUAAAAGGGUGAGAAAUAAGAGUUCUAGUAAUUAUAAUUUCCAAACACUAGUAGCAACCACUGUUUCGGUUCAGUUUCCUAUGAAUAAAAUCAACACCACGUCUCUUUAUGAAUAAAGCAGCAUGCAUUAUGUCAAGGCCAUGUCCACACUUCCUCGCACAACGAUUCAAAAUCCUCUCAGAUAAGCUCGAACAGGUUGCUAUUCUCAAGCUAUUUGAUUUUCACACAAAAAGUUGUGAGCAGAUAAACUUACACAUUAAAAAGAGUGUAUCAAUUUCUCAAUCGCUAGAGAAAAUAACACGAGAGCGGUGCCAGCUUCCCUGUAAACCCACACCUACGCCCACCUAAUCCAGCAGCGAUCGAGCCAGACGAGAAGGAGCCAGCAUUGAAGCACUUGGGGGAAUGAAGAAACGGAAUCAUCUGGGUUCCAUGUAUAAAUCAUGGGAGCUCCUAGGAAUUUUAUCCAACACAACCAGCGCCUACUACUGUCAGCACCACAUUUGCAGCUGCAGGAACACCGCCAACUGAACGGACUCUGGUGGCGGUGCUUAACGGCCUAGG